UAGAGAGGCCAAAGGAACCAGGAUUGAAAUCUUUGCGUACAGCUAGAGAUCUCCGAGAGGGAAUGGUUAGUAACCUAGAAAACAAGACAUUCACAGCCAACUAUAUUGCAAUCUUCAAGAAGGCUAAAACCUUAUGUAUAUCUCUGCAGGAAGUGUUGGUCACCUGCAUAAGAUACUUUUGAUAAAUCAAGUGCGCUAUAGUGAGCCACAGGAUCCGGGACAUGACUGCUGCUAUUGAAAAGGUUAUCAAAUACCUUGGAACUGGAAGGUUUUAGUUGAUGAGUGAGUGAAUCCAAUACAUCAAAUAACCAAUAUUGGACAAAUGGGUUCAAU
Long non-coding RNA from Papaver somniferum (opium poppy), 333 nucleotides. RefSeq lists it as uncharacterized. The transcript has 4 exons. Lineage: Eukaryota; Viridiplantae; Streptophyta; Magnoliopsida; Ranunculales; Papaveraceae. The record is from RefSeq and is a predicted model, not a curated record.